RNAcentral lists this unclassified non-coding RNA (280 nucleotides) under plant metagenome. Its description in RNAcentral is "partial contains small subunit ribosomal RNA, internal transcribed spacer 1, and 5.8S ribosomal RNA". The record is from RNAcentral.
UUUCCGUAGGUGAACCUGCGGAAGGAUCAUUAACACGAAUUAUUUAUUAUCCAAUAUCAAAAACCAAACGUGAACUUUUCCCCUCCCUAUAUAUAUGUAUAUAUAUAUAUAGGCUAACCUCAUAUAAUUUUUAACACUUUAAACUUCAACUAGUUUUAAUGUAACCAUUAAAACAUCUAAACUAAAAAAGACAAGGUUAUUCGAAAGAGUAAACUUUAACUUUUUUCGAUCUACGAAAAAUUUAAAAGAACAACUCUUAACAAUGGAUAUCUUGGUUCUC